AUCACUUCUCGGCCUUUUGGCUAAGAUCAAGUGUAGAAAUGUAGGGGGAGAGAAGGGGAAUGUGCUGGAAGAUAGUCUCUCCCCAGUUUUUUUUUUUUUAAUUUUUUUAAUUUCCCCAAUACAUUAU
RNAcentral lists this small nuclear RNA (127 nucleotides) under Sus scrofa (pig). Its description in RNAcentral is "U2 spliceosomal RNA (multiple genes)". It matches the Rfam family "U2 spliceosomal RNA". Rfam says of the family: U2 is a small nuclear RNA (snRNA) component of the spliceosome (involved in pre-mRNA splicing). The record is from Rfam by way of RNAcentral. RNAcentral also lists the same sequence under 1 other name. Lineage: Eukaryota; Metazoa; Chordata; Mammalia; Artiodactyla; Suidae.